RNAcentral lists this transfer RNA (74 nucleotides) under Candidatus Kaiserbacteria bacterium. Its description in RNAcentral is "tRNA-Asp". It matches the Rfam family "tRNA". From Rfam's summary of the family: Transfer RNA (tRNA) molecules are approximately 80 nucleotides in length. Their secondary structure includes four short double-helical elements and three loops (D, anti-codon, and T loops). Further hydrogen bonds mediate the characteristic L-shaped molecular structure. tRNAs have two regions of fundamental functional importance: the anti-codon, which is responsible for specific mRNA codon recognition, and the 3' end, to which the tRNAs corresponding amino acid is attached (by aminoacyl-tRNA synthetases). tRNAs cope with the degeneracy of the genetic code in two manners: having more than one tRNA (with a specific anti-codon) for a particular amino acid; and 'wobble' base-pairing, i.e. permitting non-standard base-pairing at the 3rd anti-codon position. The record is from RNAcentral. Lineage: Bacteria; Candidatus Kaiseribacteriota.
GCGGUCGUAGCUCAGCUGGUUAGAGCGCUGCCCUGUCACGGCAGAGGCCGAGGGUUCGAGUCCCUUCGACCGCG